CGGGUGCACUGAUCCAGCCGGGCCUUUCCCUCUGUGGAACCCCAUGGCCUUCACUGGCUGUGGUGGGGAAACAGGACUUUUACUUUGAAAAAAUUAGAGUGCUCCAGGCAGGCCUAUGCUCGAAUACAUUAGCAUGGAAUAAUAGAAUAGGACGUGUGGUUCUAUUUUGUUGGUUUCUAGGACCGCCGUAAUGAUUAAUAGGGACAGUCGGGGGCAUCAGUAUUCAAUUGUCAGAGGUGAAAUUCUUGGAUCUAUUGAAGACUAACUACUGCGAAAGCAUUUGCCAAGGAUGUUUUCAUUGAUAAGGAACGAAAGUUAGGGGAUCGAAGACGAUCAGAUACCGUCGUAGUCUUAACUAUAAACUAUGCCGACUAGGGAUCGGACGAUGUUAUUCUUUGACGCGUUCGGCACCUUUCGAGAAAUCAAAGUGCUUGGGCUCCAGGGGGAGUAUGGUCGCAAGGCUGAAACUUAAAGAAAUUGACGGAAGGGCACCACCAGGGGUGGAACCUGCGGCUUAAUUUGACUCAACACGGGGAAACUCACCAGGUCCAGACACAGUGAGGAUUGACAGAUUGAGAGCUCUUUCUUGAUUCUGUGGGUGGUGGGUGCAUGGCCGUUCUUAGUUGGUGGAGUGAUUUGUCUGCUUAAUUGCGAUAACGAACGAAACCUUAACCUGCUAAAUAGCCCGUACUGCUUUGGCAGUUCGCCGGCUUCUUAGAGGGACUAUCGG
Molecule: ribosomal RNA, 730 nt
Filed under: uncultured eukaryote
Lineage: Eukaryota
Description: SSU rRNA
Rfam family: Eukaryotic small subunit ribosomal RNA
Source: RNAcentral